CUUCACCUUUGAGAUGCUCAAUUUCAGAGUAAUUUUGUAGCUCUACCUCCAUGCUGUGAGAGGCACUGAAUUGUGGAAAAAAGAAUGGGGAGACUUUCCUUGGCCCCUAGAACCUGAAAUCCUAACGAGAGCCAAUAAGCCCAGGAAGGAGCUGCGUUGGCGUUGGCCGAGGGCACCCGGCAGCGAUGGAGGUGUGCCGCCCACAGCACAGGCUCCUUCUUCCUGGCCGUGGGAGCAGGAUGUCUUGCAGGUUACCACACUGCCUUUACUUGUCCUGUCUUCCUGAGAACCUACUGGUGAACAUGAAUCAACAACAGUAACACCGAUAACCAUUUUGCGGCCUCGUGCUGUAUUGAGCAAUGUGCAAAACUCUUCACGUGUAUUGACAUAUUUAACUCUCACAACAUCCACAUGAGAUUUCUUUUUCAACUUCCUCCACAUCUAAAGAUGACCUGGAUCUUAAGAGUAUUUGUUAUGGAGAUGGGCGGCAAGGUGCCUGCAGAGUGAAGACUGACUCCUCUCCUCUCAGCUGGAUUGCAACAGAACAAAGCAAUCAUUAAGUGCUCUGAUUUCAAAAGAAUUAGCCCCGUUCUGGCAGAGGACAGCACAUAUUUGGAGAUCUCCUCUACGUCAUCAAAUAUUUCCUGCUAAUUUGGAUUCUAUUGAAUUGGAUGAAAACAAGUUCACAGGGCUUGAGAAUUUGGCCAAGAGACCAUAAACAAAGGGAAACACCAAGUGGAAUUCGUGCUUUCAGACUUGGGGACACCAGCUUACAUGGCGCCAGUGGGGUGAGGGGUCACAUUCAUUUAAUGGAAUCACUCAUAUUCCGGAGGAGGCUGCCGGUGUCGCUAACUAAUUUCAUUAUAACGCUGAGUUGUGCCACCACCCACGAAUGCCAAGGGAACAUGCAAAGAGGGCAGGAAAGCACCAAGUGCCAAAAGGUGCUAGAAGAAGUUUGGGCCUCAGUUCGGUUCCUUUCCAGGAACAAAUCGCCACAAUGGGGGACAGAAUGCUGUAGGAGCGCCAACAGAGAACAAAGCCACCAGGCAGCCACUUUCAAUGACAUUAAAAAGA
Long non-coding RNA from Talpa occidentalis (Iberian mole), 1074 nucleotides. RefSeq lists it as uncharacterized. The transcript has 5 exons. NCBI's taxonomy places the organism in Eukaryota, Metazoa, Chordata, Mammalia, Eulipotyphla, Talpidae. The record is from RefSeq and is a predicted model, not a curated record.